UACGAAGGGUGCAAGCGUUACUCGGAAUUACUGGGCGUAAAGCGUGCGUAGGUGGUUUGUUAAGUCUGAUGUGAAAGCCCUGGGCUCAACCUGGGAAUUGCAUUGGAUACUGGCAGGCUAGAGUGCGGUAGAGGAUGGCGGAAUUCCCGGUGUAGCGGUGAAAUGCGUAGAGAUCGGGAGGAACAUCGGUGGCGAAGGCGGCCAUCUGGACCAGCACUGACACUGAGGCACGAAAGCGUGGGGAGCAAACAGG
This 253-nucleotide ribosomal RNA is filed under the name uncultured bacterium. Its description in RNAcentral is "partial 16S ribosomal RNA". It matches the Rfam family "Bacterial small subunit ribosomal RNA", at positions 524 to 776 of the family's 1533-position model. The record is from RNAcentral.